CGCCUCCUCUCCCAGUUCAGUUCAGUGCUCCAUACUGGAUUUGUGUGCAGGCUGAGGAGGCAGAGAAGAGCAGUGGUGUUACCCAUUCCACCCCCAGCUUCAGCAUGGCUGCGUGGUGGAAGAAACCCCUGCUACAGAC
Molecule: small nucleolar RNA, 139 nt
Filed under: Amphilophus citrinellus (Midas cichlid)
Lineage: Eukaryota; Metazoa; Chordata; Actinopteri; Cichliformes; Cichlidae
Source: RNAcentral